RNAcentral lists this ribosomal RNA (407 nucleotides) under uncultured prokaryote. RNAcentral describes it as "bacterial SSU rRNA". It matches the Rfam family "Bacterial small subunit ribosomal RNA", at positions 355 to 774 of the family's 1533-position model. The record is from RNAcentral.
UGGGGAAUAUUGCACAAUGGGCGGAAGCCUGAUGCAGCAACGCCGCGUGCGGGAUGACGGCCUUCGGGUUGUAAACCGCUUUCAGCAGGGACGAAGCGUGAGUGACGGUACCUGCAGAAGAAGCACCGGCUAACUACGUGCCAGCAGCCGCGGUGAUACGUAGGGUGCGAGCGUUGUCCGGAUUUAUUGGGCGUAAAGAGCUUGUAGGCGGUUUGUCGCGUCGGGAGUGAAAACUCAGGGCUUAACCCUGAGCCUGCUUCCGAUACGGGCAGACUUGAGGAAGGUAGGGGAGAAUGGAAUUCCUGGUGAAGCGGUGGAAUGCGUAGAUAUCAGGAGGAACACCAGUGGCGAAGGCGGUUCUCUGGACCUUUCCUGACGCUGAGAAGCGAAAGCGUGGGGAGCAAACA